This 479-nucleotide ribosomal RNA is filed under the name uncultured bacterium. Its description in RNAcentral is "partial 16S ribosomal RNA". It matches the Rfam family "Bacterial small subunit ribosomal RNA", at positions 28 to 507 of the family's 1533-position model. The record is from RNAcentral.
GAUGAACGCUAGCGGGAGGCCUAACACAUGCAAGCCGAGCGGUAUGGAUAGCUUGCUAUCCAGAGAGCGGCGUACGGGUGCGUAACACGUGUGCAACCUACCUUUAUCUGGGGGAUAGCCUUUCGAAAGGAAGAUUAAUACCCCAUAAUAUAAUGAUUGGCAUCAAUUAUUAUUGAAAACUCCGGUGGAUAGAGAUGGGCACGCGCAAGAUUAGAUAGUUGGUGAGGUAACGGCUCACCAAGUCAAUGAUCUUUAGGGGUCCUGAGAGGGAGAUCCCCCACAGUGAGAUGGAGACAGGGACGAGACUCCUACGGGAGGAGGCAGCGAGGAAUAUUGAACAGGGGGGGAGAGCUUGACCCACCCUCCCCGCGGGAGGGAUGCCGGUCCUAGGGAUUGUAACUUUCUUUUGAACAGGAAUAACCCCCCCCCCGGGGGGGUAGCGGAGGGUACUUAACAAAAAAGCCCCGGCUAACCCCGUG